RNAcentral lists this ribosomal RNA (275 nucleotides) under uncultured prokaryote. RNAcentral's name for it is "partial 16S ribosomal RNA". It matches the Rfam family "Bacterial small subunit ribosomal RNA", at positions 524 to 798 of the family's 1533-position model. The record is from RNAcentral.
UACGGAGGAUCCGAGUGUUAUCCGGAUUUACUGGGCGUAAAGGGCAGGCAGGCGGAUCCAUAAGUUUAUCGUUUAAGGCGUCGGCUUAACCGGCGUAGGGCGGUAGAUACUGUGGAUCUGGAAUGCGGUUGGGGAAGACAGAAUUCCUGGUGUAGCGGUGGAAUGCGCAGAGAUCAGGAGGAAUACCGAAGGCGAAGGCAGUCUUCCAAGCCGUUAUUGACGCUCAACUGCGAAGGUGUGGGUAUCAAACAGGAUUAGAUACCCUGGUAGUCCCU